GCUGCGGUUCAUGAGGCGGCUUCUGCUGCUGCUCGCCGCCCUGGCGGCGGCCGCGCACUCGGUGACGGUGCUGGACAGCUGGUGGCCGGAGCAGUCGGCGCUGCUCCGGAGGGCGUCGGACGGCCGCCGCGUGCUGCGGGCCGUGCUCCGCGACGGCCGCGUCGCCCAGUGCGAGCGCGGCGAGCUGGGCCGCUUCCUCGACGAGGUGGCCGCCCACUCGCGGUGCCGCGGGGGCAACGCCACCGGCCCGCCGUGCGACCACCGGCUGCACCGGCUGCGGUCGCUCGAGUGGCAUCGCAUGAGGCGCGCCUGUGGCAGGCUGCAGCGGAGGAGGCGCCGCCGGGAUCUCUUCCUGUACCCGGGAACCAACUGGUGUGGCUCGGGAAGUUCGGCGCGCAGGAUAAACGAGCUCGGAGCCAACUCGCGGGCCGACCGCUGCUGCCGCGAGCACGACCACUGCCCCUUCACCAUCGAGGCGUUCCAGAGGAGGUUCCACUUGUUCAACUACAGGCUGCACACGCUCAGUCACUGUGAAUGCGACGAGAGGUUCCGGAGCUGCUUGAAGAUGACCAACAACGGGGCUUCGCAUAUGGUGGGCAAGCUGUACUUCAACGUGGUGCAGACUAAGUGUUUCGUCUUCAAGUACCGCCAUGUCUGCGAACUGCGUUCCUGGUGGGGCAAGUGCCUCAAGCGAGAGAAGCGCAAGGUCGCCGUGCUUCGAGCCGGCGUGUCCUACUGACAGUCUCCACGUGAUACGCGCUAAUGAAGGUACAGCACAGAUACCAGUAGUGAAGGAGGCAUAUACAAGUAGAGCAGUGACCUUAUGGGUGCACCCUUCAGCAGAAGUUCAUUCACCAAGGCUUCCGUGACAGAAGAAAGAAAAUAUCUUUUGCAGCUAUGUUAUGUAACCUCAAAUUGAGUCUUAAUUCGACCAUGGGAACAUCGCAGUGCACUUCGUCUGUUUAUAUUCGAUUGUGUAACCAAGGUACAUAGAAAUUGAGGAGUUUCAUAGAACAUGUCUGUAUACCCUUUCUCACCUGCUUACAUAACCAUGACAAUAUGUGCAUUAUCCCGCAAUUUCCAGAUCGGUCUCUCUGUGAUUAAAUGUGCAGAAAUUACUUUUGACCAUGUGAAACCUAAGAUGUUCCUGAAUGUUGGGACGAAUGUGGUGUGCUUUCACAUGUUUCCCUCGCUAGUGCUUGUGCUGUUGCAUUUAAUUUGCGUGCCGUGCCCUGUAGCACGAUAUGUAAAUAAAUGCCU
This is an RNA transcript of Dermacentor albipictus, 1260 nucleotides long. It is a transcript of the gene named acidic phospholipase A2 PA4-like, with no coding region annotated. The record is from RefSeq and is a predicted model, not a curated record. NCBI's taxonomy places the organism in Eukaryota, Metazoa, Arthropoda, Arachnida, Ixodida, Ixodidae.